RNAcentral lists this unclassified non-coding RNA (201 nucleotides) under uncultured Sebacinales. RNAcentral's name for it is "sequence contains ITS1". Lineage: Eukaryota; Fungi; Basidiomycota; Agaricomycetes; Sebacinales. The record is from RNAcentral.
GUGAAUCUUUCAAAGUCGGCUCCGUCCGUUCUGUGCUGGUGGAGACACAUGUGCACGUUUGGCGAGUCGCAAAUCCACACACCUGUGCAUCUAUGACUCUGAGUGCCGCUUUGCAUGGCCUUGACGGGCCUGGCGCUCGAGUAUUUUCACACACUCUUGAAUGUAAUGGAAUGUCAUGUUGUGCGUAAUGUACAAAAGAAA